AGUGAACGCUGGCGGUAGGCCUAACACAUGCAAGUCGAACGGCAGCACAGUAAGAGCUUGCUCUUACGGGUGGCGAGUGGCGGACGGGUGAGGAAUACAUCGGAAUCUACUUUUUCGUGGGGGAUAACGUAGGGAAACUUACGCUAAUACCGCAUACGACCUACGGGUGAAAGCAGGGGAUCUUCGGACCUUGCGCGAUUGAAUUAGCCGAUGUCGGAUUAGCUAGUUGGCGGGGUAAAGGCCCACCAAGGCGACGAUCCGUAGCUGGUCUGAGAGGAUGAUCAGCCACACUGGAACUGAGACACGGUCCAGACUCCUACGGGAGGCAGCAGUGGGGAAUAUUGGACAGUGGGCGCAAGCCUGAUCCAGCCAUACCGCGUGGGUGAAGAAGGCCUUCGGGUUGUAAAGCCCUUUUGUUGGGAAAGAAAAGCAGCAGGUUAAUACCCCGCUGUUCUGACGGUACCCAAAGAAUAAGCACCGGCUAACUUCGUG
This 492-nucleotide ribosomal RNA is filed under the name uncultured bacterium. RNAcentral describes it as "partial 16S ribosomal RNA". It matches the Rfam family "Bacterial small subunit ribosomal RNA", at positions 29 to 507 of the family's 1533-position model. The record is from RNAcentral.